GUAGGUGACAAGCGUUGUCCGGAAUUAUUGGGCGUAAAGCGCGCACAGACGAUUCUUUAAAUCUGAUGUAAAAGCCCACGGCUCAACCGUGGAGGGUCAUUGGAAACUGGAGAACUUGAAUACAAAAGAAGAAAGCGGAAUUCCACAUGUAGCGAUGAAAUACGUAGAGAUGUAGAAAAACACCAGUGGCGAAGACGACUUUCUGGUCUGUAACUGACGCUGAGGCGCGAAAACGUGGGGAACAAACAGGGAUUAGAUACCCUGAUAAUACACACCAUAAACAAUAAAUACUAAGUGUUAGAGAAUUUCCGCCCCCCUUAAUACCUGCAGCUAACGCAUUAAGCACUCCACCUGGUAAUACAGCCGCAAGGCUG
RNAcentral lists this ribosomal RNA (374 nucleotides) under uncultured organism. RNAcentral describes it as "partial 16S ribosomal RNA". It matches the Rfam family "Bacterial small subunit ribosomal RNA", at positions 527 to 896 of the family's 1533-position model. The record is from RNAcentral.